AAACGAUGCCAACCAGUAAUUCGCCUGAGUUCCUUAAAUGACUCGGCGGGCGGCUUCCGGGAAACCAAAGUUUUUCGGUUCCGGGGGAAGUAUGGUUGCAAAGCUGAAACUUAAAGGAAUUGACGGAAGGGCACCACCAGGAGUGGAGCCUGCGGCUUAAUUUGACUCAACACGGGAAAACUUACCCGGCCCGGACACUGGAAGGAUUGACAGAUUGAGAGCUCUUUCUUGAUUCAGUGGGUGGUGGUGCAUGGCCGUUCUUAGUUGGUGGAGCGAUUUGUCUGGUUAAUUCCGAUAACGAACGAGACUCUAGCCUACUAAAUAGACCAGAGGCUUCUUAAAACACGUCUCUGGCUGCUUCUUAGAGGGACAGGCGGCGGUUCAGCCGCACGAAACAGAGCAAUAACAGGUCUGUGAUGCCCUUAGAUGUCCGGGGCCGCACGCGCGCUACACUGAAGUGAUCAGCGUGCUUUUUGUACCCUGCUCUGCCAAGAGUGGGUAACCCAAUGAACCUUCUUCGUGAUUGGGAUAGGGGAUUGUAAUUAUUCCCCUUGAACGAGGAAUUCCCAGUAAGCGCGAGUCAUAAGCUCGCGUUGAUUACGUCCCUGCCCUUUGUACACACCGCCCGUCGCUACUACCGAUUGAAUGAUUUAGUGAGGUCUUCAGACUGGCCGGUGCAGCUACUCUCACGGGUGGCAGCGCUGUGUUUGGAAAGAUGCC
RNAcentral lists this ribosomal RNA (720 nucleotides) under uncultured eukaryote. RNAcentral's name for it is "SSU rRNA". It matches the Rfam family "Eukaryotic small subunit ribosomal RNA", at positions 1034 to 1759 of the family's 1831-position model. The record is from RNAcentral.